AAUCAUUAUUUUAAAUUUAAUUUUGUGUUAUUAAAAAAAAAAAAAAAAAAAAAAAAAAAAAAAAAAAAAAAAAAAAAAAAAAAAAAAAAAAAAAAAAAAAAAAAACAAAAUAAUAAAAAUAAUAAAAAUAAUCUAAAACACUAAAUCGGUGAUUGCUUAAAUUUCACUUUAAACUAAAACUUUAAAUGUCUCAAAAUAUACGACAGAAAAUGGACAGAGUUUCCACUACUUAACAAUGGCUAUCGUUCACUCGCUAAUACCAAAAAGGAAUCUGCCUCUUUACCGAUCCAAAUACGCUUACGUCAAC
This 307-nucleotide unclassified non-coding RNA is filed under the name Melitaea cinxia (Glanville fritillary). Its description in RNAcentral is "misc RNA ENSMCXG00005018845.1". The record is from RNAcentral. Lineage: Eukaryota; Metazoa; Arthropoda; Insecta; Lepidoptera; Nymphalidae.